UAGUUUAGUUGGUCGGACGGGUGGAGGUAACACGUGAGCAACCUAGCCUUCGAGAGGGGAAGUAACGGACUGGAAACGGUCGCUAAUACCGCAUAAUGUACGGAUGGGACAUCCUGUCGGUACCAAAGAUUUAUCGCUCGAAGAUGGGCUCGCGUCCGAUUAGGUAGUUGGUGAGGUAACGGCCCACCAAGCCGACGAUCGGUAGCCGGACUGAGAGGUUGAACGGCCACAUUGGGACUGAGACACGGCCCAGACUCCUACGGGAGGCAGCAG
RNAcentral lists this ribosomal RNA (273 nucleotides) under uncultured bacterium. Its description in RNAcentral is "partial 16S ribosomal RNA". It matches the Rfam family "Bacterial small subunit ribosomal RNA", at positions 86 to 354 of the family's 1533-position model. The record is from RNAcentral.